This 250-nucleotide non-coding RNA is filed under the name Magnetospirillum sp. The record is from RNAcentral. Lineage: Bacteria; Pseudomonadati; Pseudomonadota; Alphaproteobacteria; Rhodospirillales; Rhodospirillaceae.
UUACACCUCGGGCUUGAUGGUUCCGACGGCUUCCCCAUGGGAGCCCGAGGUGAAAAGGGAACGCGGUCAAGGGCUUCGACGCCCCCAGCCCGCGGCUGCCCCCGCAACUGUAUGCGGAGAGGUCCCGCCCGCUUAGGAACGCCACUGGUUUCGGCCCCGACAUCCACCGGGGGGCCGUGUCGAACCGGGAAGGCAGGGGCAGGACCUUUGACCCGCGAGCCAGGAGACCUGCCAUCAUCAUCGCGUGCGC